RNAcentral lists this transfer RNA (94 nucleotides) under Bacillota bacterium. RNAcentral describes it as "tRNA-Sec". It matches the Rfam family "Selenocysteine transfer RNA". The record is from RNAcentral. Lineage: Bacteria; Bacillati; Bacillota.
GGGGGCGGAUAGGUGCUGGUGUGCCUACCGGUCUUCAAAACCGGCUGGACCGGGCAACCGGUUUGGUGAGUUCGAUUCUCACACGUCUCCGCCA